CCCUGAGAAGAGAGGAGAGCCCAGCGGUAUUUCCAGCAGAACCACUUCCUGUUGCAUGUGUUGAGUAAAAGGCUUGUCCCAUUCCAGGGCAGGGAGGGACUCGCUACUCUGAACAAGGUGGUAAGAAGGAGAGGGUAAUUUGACCGGAAACAUUGGGAGGCUCUGUGACCCCACUGGUGUGGUGGCCCUUCCCAAGAACCUCCCACUCUCAUCACUUACCCAGUGCCUGCAUCUCAAAGCAUAGCCUGGGAGCAGGGGGAGCAUAAGAGGGCACAUGAACCCAGCCUCAUCUCCCCAGCAGAGGUCAAGGCCAAGGGAGAUGCUGAGGCUUAAGAUGGUGAGCAGAGCCCCCUGGAUCUCAGAGAUAGAAGUCACAGGGUAGGGCGUGGUGGUGAUUCAGAUUCAAAGAUUGGGCCUGGGUAAAAUUUUUGGUGUAGAUACCAGCUGUCAGAGUUUAACCUGGGUUGUAUUGCAAAACAAACUGUCAAAACCAACAAACUAACAAACAAAAAGUCCCCAAGCUUUGCAAAAGGUGUCCAUGAUUGCAUAAGCCUCAAGGCAAUCAAUCUCCAGGCCUCCGGAGGGAGGUGGGCUACUGCGGCUGCACAGCCUACAGUAAGCGGGUCCUCACCAGUGUCCCUGUCCGGAGUGUCCCUGGGGAUAGUGGGCAAGAGCUGCUUCCAGGAGACGAAAUGUUGGCAUAACCAGAUUGGCUGACUAACAGACUCUCCAUUUUUAGGGAGGUGAGACCAUGAAGAAAUGGUCACAGGAGCUGGACUUUCUCCCCCGACCAUCAGGGUGUGAUACAUGAUUAGCAGGGCCACAUCUGGACCCAAGAAAUGGGGCUGUGCACCACCUCAGGAUCCCGCUCUUAGACCUCGAUGUAGUGACUGGAUAGAUCUUGGACUGCCAUCCUCAGGAAAGCGAGGCUGAAACAUGGAUCUAAUGACGUGUGCCAGUUUUGAACAUGAGAUGCAGACACUCCUCUAGAAGACGGCAGUACAUCAAGACGGAAGGAAGCUAAUCUUGAACACCCCUGCGAGCAGAGCAGAACAGUCCAUGCAUCCUGUACUCCAGCCCACCCCUGGUCCGUUAGACGAGAGAAAAGCAAGCAGCCAUCUUGUGCGAAUCACUGUAU
Camelus dromedarius (Arabian camel) is the source of this 1138-nucleotide long non-coding RNA. RefSeq lists it as uncharacterized. The transcript has 3 exons. NCBI's taxonomy places the organism in Eukaryota, Metazoa, Chordata, Mammalia, Artiodactyla, Camelidae. The record is from RefSeq and is a predicted model, not a curated record.